AAGAGAUAAAUGCUACUCUAGGAACUGAGUACCCAAGUGCUGGAAAACUGUUAAAAUGAAACCAUUUCACAUUACCAGUAAAAUUCUGAUUAUGGUUUUUCUUUGACUUUAGAGGGGUGUCUUCCAAAAGUUUGCCUUCUGGUGGCUUUGUAAGAUCCAUUAUGGAGCAGCUGGCCCUGGUUUCUCUAAGCAAAGGAUGUGAGCAGCUGAAAAAGGUAAAACCCACAUGUGAACUACUGCCUAGUCUGGAUUAGCUGCCAGGAAGCCAAGUCAUGCACCUAGAGAAAGCCCUGGGUGAUUCCCCUCCAUGACAACACCCUGGGCUCCCAGCAGGCACCCAGCCAGACUGGUGGGAUCAACACCCUAUCAAGAGCCACUUCAUUCUCGUAAACACACAAAGCCCCAGAAAGAAAUGGAGCAAAUGUUUCCUAUGGUAAGUGUGAAAACCCCAACAAUUGCUGGCUCCUUCCAGCUGAAUUUUGCUCUAUAAUUACUGAGCUGAGUAUAGGAAAUUAAAGUUGUGUUUUUCAGCAGCUUUUUCCAUUGGCCUUACCAGAACUGCACUUGGUAGCCAUUUCUACAGAGUCAUUAUUAUUGUACUGACACCAUCAUCAGAGAAAAGAGUUGUGGUGCAAAAAGAUUCUUUAGCAUGUACAUGGC
This 660-nucleotide long non-coding RNA is filed under the name Zonotrichia albicollis (white-throated sparrow). RNAcentral's name for it is "lncRNA (ENSZALG00000016328.1)". Lineage: Eukaryota; Metazoa; Chordata; Aves; Passeriformes; Passerellidae. The record is from RNAcentral.